This 142-nucleotide long non-coding RNA is filed under the name Oryctolagus cuniculus (rabbit). RNAcentral's name for it is "lncRNA (ENSOCUG00000038508.1)". The record is from RNAcentral. Lineage: Eukaryota; Metazoa; Chordata; Mammalia; Lagomorpha; Leporidae.
UAGAAAUACGACUUCUGUUUGUAAAAGAUAUUGAACCUGAAGUAGUGACUGGUGGAGACUGAAUCCAGAACUUUCCCCCAGGAUGAACCCAUCAUCCUGAACACAGCUAGAGCACAAGUUGAAGGCCCUCUUCCUGACUGCU